This 301-nucleotide ribosomal RNA is filed under the name uncultured bacterium. RNAcentral's name for it is "partial 16S ribosomal RNA". It matches the Rfam family "Bacterial small subunit ribosomal RNA", at positions 509 to 807 of the family's 1533-position model. The record is from RNAcentral.
CAGUAGCCGCGGGAAUACGAAGGGGGCUAGCGUUGCUCGGAAUCACUGGGCGUAAAGGGUGCGUAGGCGGGUCUUUAAGUCAGGGGUGAAAUCCUGGAGCUCAACUCCAGAACUGCCUUUGAUACUGAAGAUCUUGAGUUCGGGAGAGGUGAGUGGAACUGCGAGUGUAGAGGUGAAAUUCCUAGAUAUUCGCAAGAACACCAGUGGCGAAGGCGGCUCACUGGCCCGAUACUGACGCUGAGGCACGAAAGCGUGGGGAGCAAACAGGAUUAGAUACCCGCGUAGUCCCUGUCUCUUAUAC